RNAcentral lists this transfer RNA (76 nucleotides) under Candidatus Omnitrophota bacterium. RNAcentral's name for it is "Candidatus Omnitrophica bacterium (sediment metagenome) tRNA-His". It matches the Rfam family "tRNA". Rfam says of the family: Transfer RNA (tRNA) molecules are approximately 80 nucleotides in length. Their secondary structure includes four short double-helical elements and three loops (D, anti-codon, and T loops). Further hydrogen bonds mediate the characteristic L-shaped molecular structure. tRNAs have two regions of fundamental functional importance: the anti-codon, which is responsible for specific mRNA codon recognition, and the 3' end, to which the tRNAs corresponding amino acid is attached (by aminoacyl-tRNA synthetases). tRNAs cope with the degeneracy of the genetic code in two manners: having more than one tRNA (with a specific anti-codon) for a particular amino acid; and 'wobble' base-pairing, i.e. permitting non-standard base-pairing at the 3rd anti-codon position. Lineage: Bacteria; Pseudomonadati; Candidatus Omnitrophota. The record is from RNAcentral.
GUGGGCGUAGCUCAGUUGGUAGAGUACCUGACUGUGGCUCAGGCCGUCGUGGGUUCAAAUCCCAUCGCCCACCCCA